UUUUAAACCGGUGACAGUAGCUGC
Molecule: non-coding RNA, 24 nt
Filed under: Arabidopsis thaliana (thale cress)
Lineage: Eukaryota; Viridiplantae; Streptophyta; Magnoliopsida; Brassicales; Brassicaceae
Source: RNAcentral